GGACGGGUGAGUAAUGCCUAGGAAUCUGCCUAGUAGUGGGGGACAACGUUUCGAAAGGAACGCUAAUACCGCAUACGUCCUACGGGAGAAAGUGGGGGAUCUUCGGACCUCACGCUAUUAGAUGAGCCUAGGUCGGAUUAGCUAGUUGGUAGGGUAAAGGCCUACCAAGGCGACGAUCCGUAACUGGUCUGAGAGGAUGAUCAGUCACACUGGAACUGAGACACGGUCCAGACUCAUACGGGAGGCAGCAGUGGGGAAUAUUGGACAAUGGGCGAAAGCCUGAUCCAGCCAUGCCGCGUGUGUGAAGAAGGCCCUCGGGUCGUAAAGCACUUUAAGUUGGGAGGAAGGGCUUACAGCGAAUACCUGUGAGUUUUGACGUUACCGACAGAAUAAGCACCGGCUAACUUCGUGCCAGCAGCCGCGGUAAUACGAAGGGUGCAAGCGUUAAUCGGAAUUACUGGGCGUAAAGCGCGCGUAGGUG
RNAcentral lists this ribosomal RNA (481 nucleotides) under Pseudomonas sp. acu76. RNAcentral's name for it is "bacterial SSU rRNA". It matches the Rfam family "Bacterial small subunit ribosomal RNA", at positions 100 to 577 of the family's 1533-position model. Lineage: Bacteria; Pseudomonadati; Pseudomonadota; Gammaproteobacteria; Pseudomonadales; Pseudomonadaceae. The record is from RNAcentral.